UUUGUUAUAACUUCAUCCAUUGUAACCAACCCUAUAUCAUGUAUCUCACCACCACACACCAACGACUUUUCUCUUCCUCCACCUCCGUCCCUCUAAAAAACCCAAAACGACGACAUCACGUGACAUGCGCAAGGUCCUCACCGUCGUCACCUCUCCUUUCACUCACUUGAUCAACAUAACAGAUGAUCGUCAUCCUUGAAAUUGAAAUUGGUGGAUUGAAGAUCAUGUUAUCUCUCCCACCCUGAGAAGGAGGAGAUAGGUGGAUAACCUACUUCUCGUUGCUCCAUAAGUCCUCCUGUUACAUGAUGCCAUCUUCACAUCCCCUAUUCGUGAACCCUAAAAGUUUGAAAGAAUGCUUUGUCUUUCAGGGUUGUACAUAAAACUAAACGAAAAAAAUGUCUUUUUUCAUAUGAUUACACAAAAAUUGGCUUAAUCGAUUUCUUAUUUCUUCCAUUUUUUAACUUUGUUCCUUAUAGUAGAUUGUUUACUUUGUAAUUGUUGGAUUUCGAUUUUCAGAUAUAGCUGGAGAAAGAACGGCUACACCCAAUUGCUUGUUGUGAGGUUGGAACAUAUUGGUCAGAGAUAACGAGGGUUAAACCCUUACCAUUAUUUUAUCUUUGGGCCUCCAACAACGAUGAGUAGAAUAUGCAGGUAUGAUACCACAACUUGAGGCUUUUACACUAAACUAAACGGAAAUCUGGUUGCUUACAACAAGCGGGGGAAUCAUGAAGAGUUGUAGUUCUUUGAUUAGUGCUUCAAAUUUUUUGUUUUCUAAUUAAAGCUUCAUACAUGAAUCGUUGGGGCAAGUCAACCAAGAGAUUGUAGGCGUAAUACUGCCAAAACUUGUUUAGUUAUGUAUGUAUAUGUGCAACAUAGUUACCAAUAUGUAUGUAAAACUGUAAACCAUGUUUUUAAGGAGACGAUGAUUAUGAGGCUUGGGAGGGUAGUUUAGUCCUUAUAAUUGUUUUUUAGGUGGGAAAAUUCAGUUAAGAGAGUUGUAUGAAUAAAAUAAUCUUGUUAGGAAGUAGUGGGGAGACCUAUCUCUCAAGUAUGGGAAUUCAUUUUUUUCUUUCUUGAUUUUCUAUCAAACCUGUAUCAGAGUACAUGUGCUUAUAUUUAUUUGGUGUAAAAUAUUACAUAUUUAUUUUAUAUAUACGAAGAUAUUUUGACUGUA
This is a non-coding RNA of Lactuca sativa (garden lettuce), 1174 nucleotides long. Lineage: Eukaryota; Viridiplantae; Streptophyta; Magnoliopsida; Asterales; Asteraceae. The record is from RefSeq and is a predicted model, not a curated record.